This 323-nucleotide ribosomal RNA is filed under the name uncultured eukaryote. RNAcentral's name for it is "partial 18S ribosomal RNA". It matches the Rfam family "Eukaryotic small subunit ribosomal RNA", at positions 1470 to 1796 of the family's 1831-position model. The record is from RNAcentral.
CCCUUAGAUGUUCUGGGCCGCACGCGUGCUACACUGAACGGUUCAAUGGGUAAGGUAGUGCGAAAGCAUGACCUAAUCUCGAAAUCCGUUCGUGCUGGGGAUAGAAGCUUGCAAUUAUCCUUCUUGAACGAGGAAUACCUUGUAGGCGUGAGUCAUCAUCUCACGCUGAAUACGUCCCUGCCCUUUGUACACACCGCCCGUCGCUCCUACCGAUUGAGUGUUCCGGUGAGGCUUUGGGAGAAUGGCCUCAACAUGAGUUUAUCGUGUUUUGCCGUUUGAACUUAGUCAGACCUUAUCACUUAGAGGAAGGAGAAGUCGUAACA